Molecule: non-coding RNA, 12744 nt
Organism: Pantherophis guttatus
Lineage: Eukaryota; Metazoa; Chordata; Lepidosauria; Squamata; Colubridae
Source: RefSeq, a predicted model, not a curated record
CAUUAGGUGAUGUUGCUUGCUCUGGAAUUUAUAGUCACUCCUUGAGAACUUUGGCAUCUGGAAGACUUCAAUUCUGAUACUUAAAGUACGGAAAAGUAGGGCUGUAUUUUGUAAACAACAGCUUUCAGAUAUGGCCUCAUUUGAGAUAUUUUGGUCUUCCCAGCAAGCAACAAGGACUAGAAGCAAAUAAAUUUACAGCUUGUGGUCACCAACAUUCAGAAGAAAUAUAAUUGGAAUUUCAGACAUAUAAAUAUUGACUAGAAAAAAAAGAGACAAAGUAAACUGCAAGAAAAUGGAACUUUCUCAGUAUAAAGCCUUUUAAAAUUUCACUUCAUAAUUCUUUGGGGUUCAGGACAAGUUCAUUCUAAGUGGAUGUGCAUGGCGUUAUAUGGUAUCAACCAGCCACUUCAGAACAGUAGUUUGAAUAUUGCACUGAAAAAAAGAGGAGCUGAGGCAGAAAAUAAAAAGCAAAGCAACAAACUUUGGCUUGGUAGAGUAUAACAAAGGAGAUGUUUCUGGGGUUUUUGCUUGUUAAUACAAGAAAAUCAGCACCACCAACAUCUUGCAGAAAAGGGCCCCCUUACUGGUUGUACCAUUGGAGUGACAGUAAUGUUGCAAACUUUCCACACCUUUCAAUGUAGGUGUAGGCUAAUGCUUUAAAGCAGGGGUGUUAAACUCGAUUUCAUUGAGGGCCGCAUCACGGUUGUGUUUGACCUCGGGGGUGGAAUGGGCGUGGCCAGGGUGGGCAUGGCCAGCUUGAUGUCAUUCAUAUCAGGAGCACCUGUGGCAGCCCUAGUGCUCUGCCAGUGGAAACGGGCUUCCAAUCUCCAUUUUUGACCAGAUCCGGCCCAUGGGCCUUGAGUUUAACACCCCUGCUCUAAAGUUUCUAAUUUGUAAAUUAUUUCCUUCUUUCUUUUUGGUAAUGGAUGUUUUUGCCUGGGAAAAUUGACAAACUGUGAGAAAAUAAAGGAUUUGAUUCAGUUAGACAAAGCAAAUUUGCAGCACUCCUUUGCGUUGCUAAGGAUACGUUAUUGAAAUCUCUUCCCAUGCUUUUUUCAAAUAUUAAGAUACAUAUGGAUAAAUUAUGUUGUUCUUUAAUAACAUGUUUUGUGUAUAUAUAUUUUAAUGACAUCUCAGAAUGCAAUUCUAUUUAAAUGUCCAUAAUUUUCAGUCUUGAAAAUACCAUUUCAGUGUCGGUUUAAUUGUGACCAGUUCAUUUGUUGCUGGUGACCAGGCCCAUGACAGUUAACUUGGCUAGAUCCAAGUUAAUUACUUAUAAAUAUCUUAUAUUUCAGAACAAACUCACCAUUUGUUCAUUCAUUUUAUUAUUUCAUUUUUACACGCAGUCAGUUUUUGUUCUAAUAGUUUCUCAUCAAUACAACACAAUGCUUUUCUCUCAAAUGUUUGCAGCAUUAUAAUUAAAUUAUAGUAGAAUUUGACGAAGUAUUUUGAUACUCUAAGCCAAAUCCAGCGUUAGGAACACUCGGUGUACUCUGGAAGAAAUAACUGAAUGCAAUGUGCAGCACAAUUUUAUCUCUAAUUGUGAAGAUGCUUUUUUUAAAAAAUUUCAGACUUUAAAAGAUGGUCUGAUGCACCAAUUCAUCAUAACAAAAUACACGGGGAUAGCUAGGGAACAAACAGAGAAAAGUUAUUUUCAAUAGUAGAUUCUAUGCACUCCAAAGAAAUUCACCUGGGCUAAUAUUGACAUUAAUUUAAAGCAAAGGAAGCUUCUUUUUCAUAUACUUGUGUGUUUUCUCAAAGAAUCAAUAAAGGGUAGUAGACAAAUAUUUAAAAUAAACAGAUCAUUCAUACAGGGAGGGAGGAAUUAAUUCAACAAAAAAAACCAAGGGGAUUAGUAGUAUAUGCAGCCUCUUAUAUAGAGGAAAAAUCAGACAAAUGAGACUUUUAUAGGAAAAUUGGGCACAAAAGGAGAAAAUUGACCAAAUAAACCCAAUCUUGUUAUAUAUUUCAAAUGAUAUACAUAAAACAAGAAUUGAUUAGUUAUAUUCUAUACAUUGGAAACUCUGAUCACUACUUGGAAGAAUUGGCCACUGGAUUAGUUCUGAGGAUUCUAACUUUUGUUAUGGAUAUCUUACACCUUUCAUAAAUCUAAAUAUUAGCUUUUACUUUCUUUCUGGUGUCUUACUGUAGCUUGCUUUUUGUAGAUUUUGUGACCUGGUUCGCCAUCUUCAGAAUUCUAGAACACUGGGCUAUAUUCAUUUUGAAAGGUUAAUGCAGAAGUAACAACAGAAUCUAAUAAAGUUAACAAAAUGGUCCUAUCAUUUGGAUAGUUUUAAAUUACCAGGGGAUUAUGUUAUUUUAUGUAACUCAUGCACUGGUGGAAAUAGUGUUACAUUUGUUCUAUGUGCAACAUUUGGCCUUAUAUAUCAAAUUUAUAUAAAUUUCAAAAUAAAUAAAUAAUGGAACUACCUUGAUAAUAUAGGAAUGUAUGAUGCUUAUAUUAAAAACAACCUGACUAAAAAAUGGUUCAAAUUGCUAAUUCCAAACAAAAUUUUCAAUUGAAGUGCCAAAAUAAUUUGACAUAUUCAGUUGAAUCAAGUUACGUCAUAAUGAUUGGAAACUUUGAUGUGCUUUUGGUAUGUACAUGCGCAGACAUUCUUAUCAACUUGAAUAUAUUUUCAAAUAAAAUCUACUUGAUUUGACAAUUGAAGUUGAUGAAGUGAACUAGCUCAACUUGACUCAGAACUUAAUCACAAAUUUGAAUAGAAUUAAUUGACUCUGAAAUGAAAUGGAAAUGGAAAUAAAAUCCAGGGGUUUCUUGCAGACAUCAGAAAGUGAUAAAUGGGGGCUUCAAGGAACUGACAAACCAUUUAGUUUAUCAUCUUUCACUACUGUCUUUUUGGAGUGGGACAAUUAAGUUAUUGAGUGAUUUAUUUGAGUAUAUCUAGGAUUCAGUGCAGUUUCUCAUAAAGAAGAGAAUACAAAAGAAUACCCAAAGGAUAACUGAUGACUUGACAACCACAUCAGCUCUUCUGGCAAGAACUGUACAAUAUCCAUUAGAAAGUUGAAGAUGUAUCUCAUAAAUGUAUUUAUCUUUCAUUUUUUUAAAAAGAGUUGCAAGUGAUAUAUAAUGAUAACUGCCAUAAAUCUUAGAAGAUGAGGGCCUUUCUGUUUCGAGGUUGUAGUGGGCAGACAAAGGUAAAUAAGACAUUGUCAUUUUCUCUCAAGGAGAAAAUCUACCUAUAUCAAAGUUUCUCAACCUUAGCAACUUUAAGAUGUGUGGAUUUCAACAUUGCUGGCUGGGGUAUUUUGGGAGUUGAAGUCAUUAAAGUAGCUUAAAGUUGCUAAGGUUGAAAAACACUGACCUAUAUGGUCACUAAGAGUUGAUGGCAUAUAAUCAAUUAAUCAUUCUCACAUCAGUUUUUACUAUAAUGUUAGGCAAUAUGAGAAAACUACACUGGGACUCUUAGACCGGUAGUCUACAGAUAGCAAGGGAUAAUGAUUAAAUCCCUUUUUCAUUUUUUAAAAAAUAGAAAUCAAAAAAGUUUGUAGGUUUCCUAUAAGGGAGACAUUGACUUGAAACUUUUUCAAUAUGCUUCAUAUGAGUUAGAGACAAUCCUGUCAUAUUCAUUAUGCCUGUUGCCUUUGCUCUCUGUAGUCAUGUUAGUGAUAAUUAGACCUCUCAAAUUUUCACCACUAUCAGUUGUUUUCCUGGUACAUAAUCCUGAUUCAGGCUAUUCAUAAACAAAAGCGAAGCCUUAAUUUGGUGAACUUUGAUAGAACAAAUUUUGAAUGCAACAGACAAAAAUUUCCUUUUUUAUUCCAUGUUAAUAUUACCACAUUUGCAGUUAGAAAGCCAGCAACACAUUACAGUUUCAGAUUCUGAUUUAUGGACUUAAGGUAUAUUCAUAGAUACACCUGUCUAACGUCAUACUAAACUCCCCCAAAAUAAAUAAUGGCUUUCAACAUUUGAAAAGUGCUUUAAUAUGGAUCAACAUUUUUAAAGAGAACUUUACUCAGUUUUCAUUUACAACUCCAGUAGCAUACCAUCGCCUUGGUGGGGGGCCAUUAUGAUGACAUCCAUUCUCUCUCAUCAUCUUUCAAGGCAAAUUAAAAUUUGGACUGAUCCCAGCAGCAGCCUGUCUGAGGUAUGAUCUGCUGACACUAGUCUCACAGCAGGAGACCUUACAAAUGUUCCAUGCUUUGAUGGAAGCCUUCUCCUAGAUACAUUAGUUAAUAAAUAGACCUAACAGCCACAUACCUCAAAGUUCUUCCAAGAAAAAGUCUGAUUAAAUGAGGAGGAUAAAUGCUAUACUAAAUGUGUGGUAUUAAGGUCUUAAAUUUGGAUCAGUUUGAAUGAUACUCCAGUACCAAUUUGACCACAUACCAUAUUUUUCAGAGUAUAAGAUGCUCCGGAGUAUAAGACACAGCUUAGUUUUUGGGGAGAAAAAUAGGAGGGGAAUCUGCCUCCCAGGUAUUCAUUUGGCUAGUGUCCUUAGUCUGGUCAACUUCAGCACAUUAGUUUGCUGGUUUUUUAUCCCCUACUUGGGGAUAAAAAACAGCUUCUAAGGCACAGCUGAGAGGAAGCAGCAAUGAGAAAAGCAGGCAAAGCACAGGGGGAGAUCGCUUCACUCGGCUAGCACCAAGUUAAGGUUGAAAAAAAGCUUCUAAAGAACAGCUGAGAGUCGGAGCAAAGCAUGGAGAUCGCUUCACUCGCUAGCGCCUCAUUAAAGCACAGCAGAGAAUCGAGGGAGCAGGCAAAGCUGGGAAGAUAGCUUCACUUGCUAGUGCCUCGUUAGCGCCUCAUUAGGGCUGAAAAAAAGCUUUGAAAAAGCUACAUCGGAGUAUAAAACGCACCCAAAUUUUCAGCUUCUUUUAGGGGGGGAAAGAUGUGUCUUAUACUCCGAAAAAUACGGUAAUUUGCUCUGCAGAUAAUUUAUGCUGUAAUUCCUGCUUCUCAUUAUGUCUGUUAAGAAUAUCAGCAGCAUGUUUUGUGCUUUGAGGUAAUGAAUACGGCAAAGACCAGGGAAGGUGACAUAAGGAGAAGGUGAAUUUCUUACCAGGAUGUGCUGAUAUUGAAAUAGGGGCAUCUUGAUAUGGGCUAUUCAUUGUGGGCAGAAUUUUUAAGCAUAAAAGGAAUAGCAUGCAAUGUAAAGAAACAUGCAACUAUUAUAUUGUAAGAUACAACAUUCAAUGGUCAUUUUUUGUUAUACUGGCCAUUGAAUAUUACAUAUGUUAAUAUGUUACAAUAUGUUAUUGCAUGCUGAGAUAAAAUCAUAUUUAAAAAACAUAAUGAAACAUCUCAUGGCACCUUAAAAAAUUGAAAAAUGGUCCUGGCAUAAGAUUUGCAUGUGUUUUUUUUCUAAAUCACACAAUUGAAAUUCCUUGGCUGAUGGAGUCUGUAGUAGGCCCCUUUUGCCAGAACAAGCGGGGUAGAUUAGUAUAAGUAUAAUUAUAACUAUAUUAUCGUGUUUCCCCAAAAAUAAGACCCUGACUUAUAUUUUUUUGAACCCUGAAAUAAGUGCUUGGCCUUAUUUUCGGGGAGAUCUUAUUAUUUUGGGGCAUGUAGAGCAAAAUGGGGCUCCUCUUGCCAUCUUAUCUGAUUUCCAGCUCUGCGUUUAAAUGUUUUCAGGGAUGCCUUAUUUUUGGGGAAACGGGGUAUUAUAUUGCUAAAAGGCAUGUUCUUUGUGGACUUGUCUAGUUCCAAAUAUAGUCUUAACUACAGAUCUUUACUGUAAUUGCAGGACAUAUUAUGAAUUCAUCUGGAAGAAUUAAUGACUUUCCUGAGUACUUCUGGCUGCCUCAGGAGCUAAACCUGUAUUUCCAGUCCUAGAACACCAAUCCCUAAAGCUUUAUGAUCGGAUCUAAGAGUCAGAAUUGGAGACUGGGAGAAGUCCUUUCCCAUGCUGCAGAUCAGUUAAAUCAAUAUUAAACCAUGGAUUUUCAAUGCAAUGCAAUUAAUGCAAAUUGAUUCGAUGCAAUUAAUAACACUGGAGACACGGCCAAAUAUAAAUAGUACACAUAAAUGCUAAGACAAAAAAAAAAGGAUUAGUUUUCAACCUUACAAUGUGGUGUUUAAAUGCUUACAGGCUUGUACCAUGAUUAAAUAUAUAUCUCUAACAUGAUUCUGAUAACCUGACAGAAAAUCAGAGAUGCAAGACUAUUUCUGGCAAAGAUGUGCCUCAGAAAACAAGAAGUCAACUAAGAGUUGCCUGGCAAUUUGCCACAAGCCUUUGAAUCACUGACCUUGAAAUGACACUCCUUUUCACGCUUCAGUUCCACUCAUCCUCAAUGGUGCUUAAUAUAUGAGCUGUGGGUUGGCCAUGAGGCUUUUCAUUAAAGUUGCCUGGCAAUUCCACCAAAGUCAACAAGCUCAGAGGAGAUCUUGGAAGAAACUUUGACUUUCAUUCAUGUGCUCCAUCAUUCUCUGGAAAACUAUUGCUACUGCACAUACAUAGCUUGACUCUUCUUUUUUAGAUCAAGCCUUGCAUUUGCAACUAUAAAAUUAAAUUCUGAAUAUUAAAAUCUGCCCAAUGUUAACCAUUAAAGGUUGCCACUGGCUUGCAUAAAUGCUGAAUUUUGCCCAUACAAUUUUGGUUUCCCUUUAUUUGUGGAGAUUAAAAUAUUUGGAUAAAACAACUUGUGCUGCAAUUAUAUUAAGCUGUUCUUUUCAAAAGCAUAAAACAUUCUAUAUUUAUGUUUUUCUUAAAUGCAUUAAUUUGCUUUAGUUCAAAUAUCAAAUCGUAAGUAUAAAUACCAUAUAUGCUGCGAUGUGAUUGUUUGAAAUCAAGCUACAAAUAAAAAGCCAUUUAUAUACAUUCAUUUUUUUAAAAAAUUAAAGGAAUCUUAUAAUGCUGAACUCUUUGCCAAGGAAUAACAUAUAUGUGUGUGUAUGUAGAUACAUUUUCGUCUAAAACUUUUGUCUGCUCCAAAUUUCUUCUUUUCAAUACAUUUGACACUUUCAGGACUAUAUGCACACGUAUCAAAUUUCAUUAAAGCAAAAGCAUCUAUGAAGUAGUUCAAAAGAAUAUCAUCCUCCAUUUUUUUUGCCCCCCAUCACUGCCACAAAAGCAUUUGGCCAUUCUAGGAAAUAGUACGUUGGACUGAAUAUUUUAGAGUUGUUUUGUCCUAUAUGGCAGUUUCCCUACUACUGUAUAUAGUGCUAAUAUUUUAGCAAAUCUGUCCAAUUUAUUUCAAUUAUUUUUUUUCAUAUCUUCAUCUACUAGCUUGAUUUGGUGCAUGACUUAGCUAAUUCAACAAAAAAGUAAUAAUAGUUUCAUAUGCAAUUCUGUAUUUUUCCUGAUUGUGCAUUUUCUGCAGGUGAUUUUUCUUUAUUACAAUGUAAUCAUUGUCUAAGAUAUUAUUGUUGGGUGCAGAGUGUUCAAGAAGUCAACAGAUGUGUUUUUAUAUAGAUUUUCAUAGCUAUAAGCUAAAUUACAAAAUUCUAAAAAAUAUAGAUUUUGGUGCACAUGUAUAUCGGAGGAAUAGAAGAAGUAAGCAAUCUGAUGUUGUCCAGAUGGUUUGAAUUUAAACACUCUUUAUCUUAUCUUAUUUAUCUUAUUAGUCCCAACAAUAUGGCUAAUGGCAAAAAAUUGGAAUUGCACCUUGAGAUCCAAAAGCAUCUGUAUUCUCAGCUAGUUAAAAUGUUGAAAAAUCAAAUAUGUACAUAGAAAAUCCCUUCCAUUCCUACUUGCAUCCUGCAUUUGCUGCAAGUAUGUAGCUUGUGGGGUUUGAGUUAGGAAUUCAUAACAGAAGCUUUGUUAUUCAUUCCCCUCCCUACCCCAAAUGUUGUUUACCUCUCUAUCAGGCCUGUGUAAGGUGGAAUUACUGUUGUUGUGGGGGUCCCAAAGAUGCUUUUUCAAGAGGCAACUGGACUUUCUUGUUUUUCUUUCACUUCUCAUCCAAGAAGCUUCUUUAUCUCUGACUGGAUUGUGCAGAAUUAAUCCACCAUCCAGUCAGAGCUGAAGAGGCCUCUUAGAUGUCUUCAAAGAAAAACAAGUCCAGUUGCCUCUUGAAAAAUCACCUUUGGGACAACCAUGACCUGGAUGAGUGAAAUUCUCCAUAGACGUAUGUUGUGGGACUAUCUUAAAUCUGAUUGAAGGAACAGUGCAAGCGUCACCAAACAGUGCAAGCAUCAAAAUGGAUAACUAUUCUUUGCUUUAUCAGGACUGGUAAUAUAAGACCAUGGAAAAACCAUGGAAAGUUCUGGAGGCAUUGCUUCAGUAUGGCUUGGCCAUGAUAAAGCUUUGAUAUAUACCUGAGGCUACUCAGGUUUAUGUAGCAACCUGAAAGGGCACUUUGAUGAGCUUUUGCAUAUCCUAAUGUGUGCCCUGCAAUCACAUGAGCCAUUAAUUCUAAAAUAAUAUUCUACUUGAGGAAAUUCAACUGAAUUCAUGGUAUAAAAUGCCACUUCGCACCAUGCUAUGUGAACCUAUCCCUUGUUUAUAUAUUAGUUUUCUAUUUUCUCUAAAAAAUAUUCCAACAAUUUUCCACAGUUGGCAAAGUCCCAAAAUAUAUUUAAAAAGAAGUAUGAAAUCUGUUUAUAGCCCCACACAGUUAUGGGUUUACCAAUCCCUGCCCCUUGCUUGCCUUCCAUCUCUUAAUCACACUGCGGUUUCCACCCCAAAAAUAAAUCACUGAUGACUGAUAAAUCAUGAGUGGAGAAUGAGUGGGGAAGUGGACCUAUCUCCCAUUCUGUAUAAUUUAUUUAUUUAUUUUAUUUAAAUUAUUAUGUUUAUAAUGUGCAAACCUAGAAGAGGUAGAGACAAUUUUUCAUAGGGAUCAGAAAUGUGAAAUGGCAUUUUUUCCUAUGUUAACUCUUAUAAUAAAUUAAUCAUAAGCAGUUAAUCAGUGACCCAGUCAUGAAUAACAUUAAUAAUAAAGUUACAUUGGUUUAAACAAAGCUUUCUUCCAUAUUGGUACAAAGCAGGAAGGAAUCCACAAGCCUGGGCUUCACCAACUGCUGGAAAUCUGAUUCUUGAAGACCAUCAGGGCUCAUCACAGCUAACCGUCGUAAAGCUGCCUACGAGAAAAUGUGAUGACACUUUUAAAAUGUUAAUGACAAUUAGAAUGAACCAUGCUUUAGACAAUGCUAUAUAAAUCUAUUUGAGAACAGACUCAUAUUCUGAAGUUCAGUGAAAGUUCCUUGUGCUGUUUACCUCCCAGUGAAGGCUAAAUCUAGUGCUAUGCAUAUAGUAGCUCGGUCAGUUGGUUCACUUGAAUUAAUUAGAAAUGGGCAGCAAUUGUUUACGAGAAUCCAGAAGGCAGGGGAGGAAAGGGCUUAUCUCUGAGUUCCUCAACUUUGCCCCCCACGGAAUGCUGCCCUUCCCUAACAACAUUUGUUUGCUUGUUUUAAAUGUAAUUGCUAAUACAAAUGUUAUUUUAAUUAAAUAAAUUAAAAGGAUUACUUUUUUUCACAAAAGAGAACUUUUCAAAUCACUUGGGUCCUGCAGGUCAUAAAUGUUACCUUUAUUUGUAUCUACUAGAUUCAUUUAUAUAGAUCAUAUCUUGCAGAGGUGGUAUUCAGAAGAUUCUGACCAGUUCUGGAGAACAGGAAGCAGAAAUUUUGAGUAGUUCAGAGAACCGGUAAAUACCACCUCUGACUGGCCCCGCCCCCAUCUAUUCUCUACCCGCGAGUCCCAGCUGAUUGGGAGGAAAUGGAGAUUUUGCAGUAACCUUCCCCUGGAGUGGGUUGGGAAUGGAGAUUUUACAGUAUCCUUCCCCUGCCACGCCUCACCAAGCCACACCAUGCCCAUCAAGCCACGCCCACAGAACCGGUAAUAAAAAAAAUUGAAUCCCACCACUUAUAUCUUGUUGAGACCCUCUUCAUAGAGUUUGAGAGGUAGGAUUGAUCAGGAUGUUUUUUGGUGCCUUAGGCAAAGAAAAGAUCCACAAUUACCAUAACAAUGACCAAACCUCCAGGUACAUCUUACUUCCAAAUUAGUAAUUUUCUAGCAUUUACCAGUAACUGAAGCUAUCAAGCACCUUAACUCAGGCAGGAAAGUCAAAUGGUGGCACAGUCAAGAGCAUUAGUGACCCAGUGGUUAGAAUACAGUAUUGCAGGUUAGCUCUGCCCACAGCCUGGAAUUUGAUCCUGAUGGGCUUAAGGUUGAUUCAGCCUUCCAUUCUUCAAAGGUCGGUAAAAUGAGAGCCGAUUGUUGGGGGCAAUGUGCUGAUCUUGUAAACUACUCAGAGAGUGCUGUAAAGCACUAUAGAGUAGUAUUUAAGUCUAAGUGCUAUUACUACUGUUAUUGCCAAAUGGUACAUUAAGGUUGGUCUUCCAGCAUUUCCUGACAUCCCUACAUAUUCAGGUGAGGCAACUGUCCAAUAGGAGAGCCAGAUCUGACAGGCGGACAUGCUAUUUCAUGAUUCAUAAUCUCUUUUCCUUUUUAUGCUACUUCCUACAAGAAAGUUAAUGAAGAAUAGAUUUAUAUUGGAGCAGGCCAACAUAAUGCUCAGAAUCUGCCUGCUUUCCCUUCUGAACUAAAGUCAUCAUUGCACCUCCAUUCUUUUUACAGCCAAUAUAUUUAAAGGUAAAGGUAAAAGUUCCCCUCGCAAAUAUGUGCUAGUCGUUCCCAACUCUAGGGGUUGGUGCUCAUCUCCGUUUCAAAGCUGAAGAGCCAGCGAUGUCCGAAGAUGUGGUCAUGUGGCCAGCAUGACUAAAUGCCAAAGGCUCACGGAACGCUGUUACCUUCCCACCAAAGGUGAUCCCUAUUUUUCUACUUGCAUUUUUUACGUGCUUUCGAACUCCUAGGUUGGCAGAAGCUGGGAAAAGUAACGGGAGCUCACUCCAUUAUGGGGCACUAGGGAUAUAUAUAUAAUGUAUUUAGGAACCCACAUAAAGUAACUUCAGCCUAUCCCUCACUUGGGUUGCAUUAAUUAUAUGUCAGCAUUUUCUACAGCAACAAUUCUAUACUUCAAAUUCCUUGGCUUAAUGAUGGAAUGGAAAAUGGCUUGUUCUCAGUAAACGAACAAGCAAACAAAUUGAAUCAUUUAAAGAAAGAAAUACAAUUUUAAAAUUUAAACCAUGUUAUAUAAAGGUGUUCCAUGCCCCAAACCCCCAAUGCAUUUUCUAGUAGAAGGCAGUUUUGUUUCUAGAGACUUUGUGCCAAUGAAGGAUUCUGAAGGUGAAUCAUGGAUUUAUAAUGUGACUUUAGGCAAGCCUAAAAUUAAGAUAAAAAUUAUUUGUGUGCAAUUAUUAAUAUAUAACUGCUUUUAUUUUGAUGGAUGUCUGCAAGUUUAUGACAUUACAAAUAAUAAAUCAUCUGAUUUCCAGCCAUGUGGAGACAAAAAAAUUGAAUGCAAAUCUCUUUUGCAGAAACAAAUAUUGCUUACUUAUCUUCAUUAAAAUAAGGCAGCUGUUUCAGAAAUUAUUUUACCAUAUUAUGAGAUGGGAAGUUGCAGAAGGCUAGAUAUCCCUUGUAGCAAUCAGACAAAAUAUAUUUUCAUUGAAAAGAAAAUGAUCUCAGACUACUAAGCUUUAAGAUUUUAACUUUGAAAACCUCCAUUGCUGAUACUCUCCUGAAGGAAUAUUUGUCUAAAAUGGACAGGUUUUAACGGACAGAAAAGAGCCAGAUCACAAUAAAACUUGUAGAUACAAUUUAGGAUGUCAAAUGUGCUCAAAAGAUUAGUAUCUGAUGUUAUGAAAUAUAUGUUUACUUCAUUGGUAACCACAAUAAAGUUUAUUUUCUCUUUUUUAAAAACUUAUAUGUCCCUGUGGAAAAUAACUGAGGAGAAGGGGAUCAAUAGACAGAGGAAAAUAUUUUGCUGGCAAAUACUCUUGCAACAGCUGACAUUAUGGAAUUGAAUAUAUUCCUUUUCAGUUAAAUUCUGUUCCUGUCUGUUGCAGAUCUGAUCUGGAUAGCUAAAGAAUCUUCUCAAUAGUGAGGGAUGUGAAUCAGAAGGCUGAAAUCUGGCAAGAUUAGCUCUCCUACCCUUCCAGCCAAUAGGAACUCUUGAUGAUGAAUGUCUGACUAGCAAAAUAAAAUGAAAGAAAAGAGGGAACAAUCAGAGGUACUCCUGGUUCAUAUCACCCUUUCAACAUGAGCAACAUAUAAAUAUGGGAGGGGGGAUUGUUUUGUUUUUAGUACUUGGACAAGACAUCCUGUUACCCAAAAUAGAAGACACUCUUAUCAGAAACCUUUAUGAAUAGAAGGAAAUGGAGGAACCUCUUUUGCUGAUUUCUCUUCAACUUGUUCCACUUCCCCCUAAACUAACUUCCUGUUGAGGAGUCUUGUGAAACACCAUAGAAUAUGAAUGGAGUAUGGACACUAGAGAAAACAAAGAGGAUUAGAAAACUGAUGUCCUUCCUGCUUCUAUUCAUGGAGACCUUUCUUGAAAAAUCUGCCAGGAAUAGAAGAACAAUCCUAACCCAAGAACCAGAGAAUGUGGAGUCCUGGAUUUUUUUUCAGUGCCCACUGCAUUGACACAUUAAAUAAUGAUGAAUAGUGUUACAAAGUCAUGAUUUAUACAUUCAAAAAGGUAAGACCUUAUACAUAAUCAAAUGGAGAUAAAUACAGAUAUGCUGCUGUAAGAAAACUGUUCACAAGAUGUCUAUGGAGAUUCUUACUCAUCCAGGUCAUGGUUGUCUCCAAAGUUCUUUUUUUUCAAGAGGCAAUUGGGCUUUCUUGUUUUUCUUUGAAGAUGUUUUGCUUCUCAUCCAAGAAGCUUCUUCAGCUCUGACUGGAUGUUGGGGAAUGGUAGGAUUUAUAUUUAUAUUACAUCCAGUCAGAGCUGAAGAAGCUUCUUGGAUGAGAAGCAAAACGUCUUCAAAGAAAAACAAGA